RNAcentral lists this ribosomal RNA (253 nucleotides) under uncultured bacterium. Its description in RNAcentral is "partial 16S ribosomal RNA". It matches the Rfam family "Bacterial small subunit ribosomal RNA", at positions 524 to 776 of the family's 1533-position model. The record is from RNAcentral.
GACAGAGGGUGCAAACGUUGUUCGGAUUUACUUGGCGUAAAGCGCGUGUAGGCGGCUUUGCAAGUCGGAUGUGAAAGCCCACGGCUCAACCGUGGAAGUGCAUCCGAAACUGCAUGGCUCGAGUCUCGGAGAGGAAGGUGGAAUGCUUGGUGUAGAGGUGAAAUUCGUAGAUAUCAAGCAGAACACCUGCGGCGAAGGCGGCCCCCUGGGCUAAGACUGACGCUGAGGCACGAAAGCGUGGGGAGCAAACAGG